RNAcentral lists this long non-coding RNA (720 nucleotides) under Panax ginseng (ginseng). Its description in RNAcentral is "long non-coding RNA (PGIN_LNC003699)". The record is from RNAcentral. Lineage: Eukaryota; Viridiplantae; Streptophyta; Magnoliopsida; Apiales; Araliaceae.
UCAUACCGAGCUCAGAAUAAAUAGUAAUAUACCUUGCCACACAGGCAAGUCAAAUAAUGCCACACAGGCAAUCAAAAUAAUGCCACACAGGCAAUCACACAUCGGACUGCGCAAUCCAGAUGCAUGCAAAAUCGGAAGGUGUGUUUGGCACAAACAUCACCAAUCCGCAGAACAGAACAGAACAGAAAACUAGGGUCGACCCAUACGCCUCCCACAACAAAACACCAAAUGGCCAACUCCCACCGGAGCACAAAACGGAGACGCCGUGGACUGAUCACACCGCCACGGAAGGUGUCAUGCCUCGGUGCCAAGAGGACAUGCCUGUGGUACCCCCACAGGUGGUUAUAACUCAGGUAUACCCUACGGUAUUCUAACAAAAUAUAAUGUCACAACACAUGCGACAAAAUAUCAACACAAUGGGGUUAUAACAUGUGCAUGUUAAAUCGAACGAAUCGUCAACACAAGUCUCUAAAAUAUACUAACAUGUACAUCACUAUAAAUAUAAAAAUAAAAUUUAGACAUGACACACUAGUCUAAAGAGUACAAUGUGAGUUCUAAUACAACGCCAAAAUAAAUUUAUCACAAUAAAUUGACAAGAAACAAUUAUGAGAGACAAUACUAGAUUUCGAAACGAAUAACGAAACGACUGAAUUAAAAACAAAAGAGUCUUGCUGGAAGAGUACGGAAUCCGUACCUGGAAUCGGUAAUGAAAUACCCAAA